UCCCCGGGCUCANCCUGGGAACUGCGUUCUGAACUGGGUGACUAGAGUGUGUCAGAGGGAGGUAGAAUUCCACGUGUAGCAGUGAAAUGCGUAGAGAUGUGGAGGAAUACCGAUGGCGAAGGCAGCCUCCUGGGAUAACACUGACGUUCAUGCCNGAAAGCGUGGGUAGCAAACAGGAUUAGAUACCCUGGUAGUCCACGCCCUAAACGAUGUCGAUUAGCUGUUGGGCAGCAUGACUGCUUAGUAGCGAAGCUAACGCGUGAAAUCGACCGCCUGGGGAGUACGGUCGCAAGAUUAAAACUCAAAGGAAUUGACGGGGACCCGCACAAGCGGUGGAUGAUGUGGAUUAAUUCGAUGCAACGCGAAGAACCUUACCUGGUCUUGACAUGUACGGAACCCUCCAGAGACGGAGGGGUGCCUUCGGGAGCCGUAACACAGGUGCUGCAUGGCUGUCGUCAGCUCGUGUCGUGAGAUGUUGGGUUAAGUCCCGCAACGAGCGCAACCCUUGUCAUUAGUUGCCAUCAUUAAGUUGGGCACUCUAAUGAGACUGCCGGUGACAAGCCGGAGGAAGGUGGGGAUGACGUCAAGUCCUCAUGGCCCUUAUGACUAGGGCUUCACACGUCAUACAAUGGUCGGUACAGAGGGUAGCCAAGCCGCGAGGCGGAGCCAAUCUCACAAAACCGAUCGUAGUCCGGAUUGCACUCUGCAACUCGAGUGCAUGAAGUCGGAAUCGCUAGUAAUCGCAGGUCAGCAUACUGCGGUGAAUACGUUCCCGGGUCUUGUACAC
Molecule: ribosomal RNA, 787 nt
Filed under: uncultured bacterium
Lineage: Bacteria
Description: bacterial SSU rRNA
Rfam family: Bacterial small subunit ribosomal RNA
Source: RNAcentral